Long non-coding RNA from Mastomys coucha (southern multimammate mouse), 956 nucleotides. RefSeq lists it as uncharacterized. The transcript has 4 exons. NCBI's taxonomy places the organism in Eukaryota, Metazoa, Chordata, Mammalia, Rodentia, Muridae. The record is from RefSeq and is a predicted model, not a curated record.
UUGAAGAGUGUUGUGUAUACAGACUGGCGUGCUGUUUUCCUGCUAUCACGUCUAUGCUAAAAGCCAAGAAUUGUUUCGGUUUCGAUCCUGCCUCUUGCUUUUAAAUUAAUAAGGGGUAAACUGUGGACUCCUUCCUCCUUUGCUUGAGAAUGAUUUGGAUUCUGUAAGCAGCCCUGACAGGCUGCAAGCUGGAACUGGACACCUGAGCUCAGCCUUCCAAACAAAAAGAUGACAGAGAUCCCAUGUGUGAGACCAAAGCAAUACUAAAUUUAGAUUUAUCUAAAAUGCUUAAAUAAAAUCACAGCUUUUGAUAUUUUAGUCUCAGAAAAUAUAUUUGAUUUCAACUUGAUGACAUUCCAGAAGCUGAUGUGCAAGUUUCUGGCUGUUAAGGAGAUACCCAACUUUGGAUGAAGCCUCAGUGAAUCUUUGCUAUACUAUGGACAAACUACUAAAAAGAACUGUUUUUCUAAACCUCAGUAAUAUCAACAGAAAAAAAGUCUGUAGAGCUCACAAUAUUUUAUUGUGAUACCAUGACAAAGAAGACUUCUUUUUGUUUAAUCCCUGGCUGUACACAUUCUCUACUUGUGCCUUCUGACCCAGAACUGCAAGGACCAUACCUGUUUCUUUUCAAUGAGCUAUCAUUAUUUGAAGACUAAAUGAUGAUAAGCCUUAACUUCAGCCUACAUGGAGAGAAAAAAAAAGCAUUUUGACUAAAAUCAGGAACUUGACAAUGUUGCCAACACUCUCCAUAACUAUUCAAGAUGGUACUUGCAGUCUUAGCUAAAACAAUAAGACAACUAAAGGAGAACAAGACAAUACAAGAAUGAAGGGAAAAAGUGUUUAGAUGAAAGUUGUGAAAAGAUCCUCCAAAGCAAAAACAGAUUCUACUGAUCCUGAGGAAUGUUCUGACUCUCCAGGAAAGAACCAGAAAUUGCUUCGUCACACCCAGGAUCAGA